UGCACAUUCUGCAAAAUUCUGAAGGCCUCCUGACAAAUGAAAUGGAGGCAGAAAAUUUUGUAGGAAACAGCAGGUUGGAGCUGGCUUCAUGGACCAAGUUGCCAUUGGAAGAUCUGCUCCAGCUUUUUUUAGUCAUACUAUUGAAGCAAUGUUUGAAGUGAUAUGGAAACUAAAACGCAAGACGACAUAACACUCCUUUUGG
Pristis pectinata (smalltooth sawfish) is the source of this 202-nucleotide long non-coding RNA. RefSeq lists it as uncharacterized. The transcript has 3 exons. Lineage: Eukaryota; Metazoa; Chordata; Chondrichthyes; Rhinopristiformes; Pristidae. The record is from RefSeq and is a predicted model, not a curated record.